This is a long non-coding RNA of Brienomyrus brachyistius, 749 nucleotides long. RefSeq lists it as uncharacterized. The record is from RefSeq and is a predicted model, not a curated record. NCBI's taxonomy places the organism in Eukaryota, Metazoa, Chordata, Actinopteri, Osteoglossiformes, Mormyridae. The transcript has 2 exons.
GUGACCAGAUCACCCAGUUCGAUCUGCUGAAAGUCUCCUCGCUAGCAUUGUGCGCAUAUCCGGCCGCGAUCAGACACCGGCUGCGCGCCGCGUUCGGACAGGUGCGGCUCGCUGUAAGUUUGCCGGCAGGCUGCGGUGGAGCACUGCUGGGAGGAGCACUGCAAGGAGGAGCACUGCUGGGAGGAGCACUGCAAGGAGGAUCACUGCUGGGAGGGGCACUGCUGGGACGAGCACUGCAAGGAGGAGCACUGCUGGGAGGAGCACUGCAAGGAGGAGCGCUGCUGGGAGGAGCACUGCAAGGAGGAGCACUGCUUCGGCUUUCUGACAAAUUUGGUUCAUGUGAUAUUGUGCAAGAUGGGCAAUUACCUAAUUAAAUAUUACAGUAGUACAGUGUUGUUGCGAUUGGUAAUAUUCAGUAUUGUUUGAUGAGGAAUGGAACAAAUUAUCCAGGCAAUUUUAAAUAUAGUGCUUAUUUUGUACAGAAAGCUAAAGCGCAGAAACCAUCUAUGAAAGCCUGUGAAAGGUUAUUCUAUUAUUUUAUAGACACUGGGUGAGUCUUCUUUUCCUGUCUACAUAUUUAAGAGCGGAUCCUGUAAAGAAAUGACCUUUGAAAGUUAUAAAAUACCUGAAGGAAAUGUAUUGGUGGCUCCCCAGAGUUGUGUAUAUUUAUGCCAUUCUGUUGUGUUUACAAAAUAUUGGACAUGUAGGCGCUAAAUUUAGAAAGUAAAUAAACAUGAGGGUGGAACUUA